Long non-coding RNA from Ictalurus punctatus (channel catfish), 1032 nucleotides. The record is from Ensembl. Lineage: Eukaryota; Metazoa; Chordata; Actinopteri; Siluriformes; Ictaluridae.
AGUUCUCACCACAAAUCCUGUUGAAAUAGAUCUCACCCUUAUUGCUUUCAAAGAUCACAUCAGGAUCUCACCCUGGUUCCUGUUGAACCUGUUCCUGUUAAAAAAAAAAAUAUAUCACCAUAAUUCAAACUAAAGAUCUCACCCUGGAUCCUCUUCACAAUCUUAUCAGGAUCUCACCCUGGUUCCUGUUAAAGCUCCUCUCCAGAUUAAAGAUCUCACUUGUUGGACUUGUUGAAGCUCAUCUCUGAAGAUCUGCCGUGUGGACUGAGACACCGAGGUGGACGUGCUGCAUGUUGCUCCUUUCCUCCUGUCGCGGCUUUUCACCGAGUGCGAAGGCUGGAGAGAAACUGUGAAGCGUGUAAAACUGUUCUGCGUUCGAGUAUGUUUUCAUUUUCUCCAUUUUACAGAUGUGUGUGUGAAGGAAAGUGUGUGUGUGUGUGUGUGUAGGAGGUCUUCAGCAUAAAGUCCAGUGUUAUAACUGGAAGUGUGAAUUUCCUCUGUGCUAUGUUAUGGACAUUAUAAUGCUUUCAUUUAUGUUCAUGGAUCCUGUACCGUCUCAGCGCAUAUUUUUAAAAACAAUAGCAGUCUUUGUUUAUUUUAUUUUUUUGGGUGGUUCAGGACGCAGUGAAAGAAAGAACUCCUGUUCGCACUCCUUAUUUUUAUUUAUUGGCUUUAAAAGCCAGCGCUCUUCCCACUCUUCAGGUUAAUCAGACUCAAAGUGAUAUACCUCUUAAUGUAAAUCUCCUUCCUCAUAUUAGUAUUAUAAUUAUUACUCACCUGUAUCCUCACCUGAUAAUGAAUGCAAAUGCAUUUCAUUCUUUAUUUCUUGAUUUUAUGAUUUCUCAGUAGCUCUGAGAUCAACAUCAUUAACCGCCUCUUUGUUAAACUUUAUUCCCAGUGGAUUAAUAACACAUUGUGGAGCCUCUAUUUCAGGUCUUUUUUUUUUUUUUUUUAUAAAGGUGAAUGUUAAAAUGUUGUGAGAAUGGAGGAAUGGAGGAGCUCUGUAUGCAAUUCCACUCUGAGCCAGAAGAG